GAUGAAGAACGUAGCGAAAUGCGAUACUUGGUGUGAAUUGCAGAAUCCCGUGAACCAUCGAGUCUUUGAACGCAAGUUGCGCCUCAAGCCAUUAGGUUGAGGGCACGUCUGCCUGGGCGUCACAUAUCGUUGCCUGAUGCCAGUUUCCUCGUGAUGGGUGACUGUGCAGGGCGAAUGAUGGCUUCCCGUGAGCAUUGUUGCUUCAUGGUUGGUUGAAAAUUGAGUCCUUGGUAGGGAGCGCCGUGAUAGAUGGUGGUUGAGUGACGAACGAGACCCAAUCAUGUGAGACCCCUACCGAAUUUGGCCUUCAUGACCCACAUGCGUCUUUGGAACGCUCAUGACGAGACCUCAGGUCAGGCGGGGCUACCCGCUGAGUUUAAGCAUAUCAAUAAGCGGAGGA
This 400-nucleotide unclassified non-coding RNA is filed under the name soil metagenome. RNAcentral's name for it is "partial contains 5.8S ribosomal RNA, internal transcribed spacer 2, and large subunit ribosomal RNA". The stretch from base 1 to 122 matches the Rfam family "5.8S ribosomal RNA", at positions 35 to 154 of the family's 154-position model. The record is from RNAcentral.